This 28-nucleotide small RNA is filed under the name Bombyx mori (domestic silkworm). Its description in RNAcentral is "ovarian small RNA-21134". Lineage: Eukaryota; Metazoa; Arthropoda; Insecta; Lepidoptera; Bombycidae. The record is from RNAcentral.
UACGGGACGAUCCACGCAGCGUAUCCCA